GUAGAAGCUGAUGAAGUAGAAGACGGCGAAGCUGCUGCCGCAGAACGUUUCCCCGUCCAUGCUGUUGCUGGGCUCUGACUCUGGGGCACACUUCUUGCCGGGCAUGCAGGCCAGCAUGAUGUCUUGCCAGGCCUCUCCCGUGGCACACCUAGGGGAGACAGAUGGAAGAUGAUGGUGGAGAAAAGAGAGUGAGUUCUGGACUUAGGCAGCCCUGGCCCCAGCUGCCAAGACCCUCGACUCAAGGGGCAUGAACCCCGGGUACCCGAGGGUGGGACAAAGUACACAGACAGAAAUGAGGAAAGCCAGGCCAGAGGGGUGAAGCCACUGCCUCCCAGGGAGCAGGCGGCUGGAGGACUGGCCCCAGGUCGUCCGGACCCUAGAGGGGGUCCCACAUCCCUGCAGGUGACGUGCAGUUCCCGGGCCCCGGGUGGGAGCUGGGGGCUGGCCCUGGCCCCCCACCCACACCCCCGUCUCCCAGGAGAGGGGGCGGCCUACCUGGAACGACUUGAUGAAGGUCCACAGCAGCGUGCGGAUGCCCUCCCCACGGCUCAGCAGCUUGACCAGGCGCAUGACCCGGAAGAGGCGGAAGAAGGAGGUUGUGUUCCCCCAGAGGAGAACGCAGAGAAGGCUUCGGGUUUUAUAACUCGGCUGUCAGUUCCACCAUGUUCGGGGAAGGGGAGAAAAGAAGAAAGAGCCAGCUUCAGCGGGAGCCUCAGCUGCGAGUGUCAAGAGUUUGAGAAGUUGGUGCCACAGGGGCAGCUGGAUCUGAUGAGUUGAAAAAAUAAAGCCUGCAAUUUGAAUUCCAUCCUGGGGUUCAGAACCCUCCCUGGCCACUGCAGUUUCCUAAGGCUGCACUAGAAAGUGAAUAAAUACCUCUCUCUGUUUCGACACAACAGUUUCCUCUAAUAAACAGAAUGACAAUGCAGUGAGGAAGCACAUGCAAAUCGCUGUCCCUGGCAAGUAGGGCAAAAACAGCCAGAGCUGAGCUUUCCCCUUGUCUGCCUUUCAACAAGUCUGGGAUGGACUGCUUUGGGGAAUACCACCAACGGAGCCAAUCCUGGCUCUGGUCUGCUGACUUCAGAGGCUCAAGGAAUCAACCCACUGGUCUUUUCCAAAACCCGCGCUUGGCCCUGUUUUGAACUCUGUGACUCCUCCUUUUGGAGGUGGCUGUUCCAAGGAGAACCCAAGGUCACACCGAGUGGCACCUCGUGGUUUCAUCAGAGCAAACCAGAGACUCAGGAAUGGUCCAAUCAAACAAGCUAGUCCGUUUUCCCUCUUCGAACCUGCUGCAGAAAAGGGAGUAGAGCCUAACUGCAAUGAACUUCAGGAAUUUAGAAAUUCUACCACCCAUCAGUAAAAAAUCCCAGCUUCAGCCAUUUGCUCUGGCCUUAAACUCAGAACCCACAGGAGGUCAGUUGUUUCAGACAUUGAUGAUUAGUCGGAAGUUGUCUGUCUGCUUUUCAGUCUCUGGGCAGGACCAUCUCUCUCCGUCCUCCUUCCCCUUCCCAUGGCCUCCUAGGUGCCCUCUGCCAAUUUCCCACACCAGAUUACAAUCAGAGACUUUGGCCAGGGGAGUCCCUGGGAUGUUUAACAGGAAAUGGUCCUUGGGUCCAAUUCUCUCCCAGUGGCUCAUUCGACAGUCAGGAUCACAGUGAGUUGUCACCCAAAGGGGAGCUGGGGGAGGUAGAGGAACACCACCACACAAACAGCAUGUCCACGGCACACACGACACCAGGCAGGCAAGGCACGGGACAGACAUGGGACUACAUGCAUGGGGGGCGAGGCUCGCCUCCGAGAGACCCGGGGUCAGGACGGGAAGAGCAGGGGGUGUUAGAGGGGUCACAGAAGCUGGGAGCGUGGUCUGGAGGGUCGGUCUUACCAUAGAGGGAGAGCAUUGAGUAUGUUCAGCUGGCUUUAAAGAAAGGCAGAUAGAGAUAAGCUGUAAUGAGUCUCCAACGAAGACGCCCCGUAUUCUAGGUCUUGGCUAACACAGGAGCAACACAGUGGCAGGAGAGGGCAAAAGGAAACAAGUGAAAGAAAUACAAAAGCAUAGGCCUGGGAGGUUCUGGGGCGUCCCUCUGAGUGUGAGCUGGGUGUACCUGGGUCCCACAUCUAGAAACACCAACAAGGUGCCCUCCUACCCAUGACCUUGUCUGCUCAUGAAUUAAAUAACUUGCUUCUAUCAUAGAUGAGGUCUUUUGGAUUUUGUGGAUGGAGGGUUUAUUUAUUUUUUUUUUACUUAACCAUGUAUCCUAAGAAAACCUUUGAAUGUUUGCAUUUUAUGCCCUUUAGCUUACCCUGGACAGAGCCAGCUGAAUGAGACAGGCUUUGCCUCUGCCCAGGGCUUCUCCUUGCCCACACACACUGAAGCAAAGGAGCUCAAAGGCAGUGGCCCCUCAGGUUUCAGGAAGACUGAAUUCUAGCUAUCAGAGGGAAGGACCUAAAGAGGUGGCUGUCACCUACUUCCACCCAGACGCUAGGCCGUAGGCUCAGGUGGGAGGUGACCCUGCAGUUAUGCUACAGCUAUGGAGAGCUGGGCCCUUGGCAUGGAACAAUGAGCAUGGAAUUGUUCUUUCAAACUUUAAAGUUCUGAGCACAAUUUCAGACACUAUAAUUAACACCCCAGGAAGCUGUUCUCAUGGGUCUGGCUGUUGAACUCGCUUUGGGGUAGGGCCUGAGGAAACCUGCUGCAGGUUGAGUGUCUAAGUGUCAACCUUCUCCCCAUCUCCUGGAACCUGUAUCUGGGGUGUUGCCCCUGCUUUUUGGACUCAAGCUCCUGGAGCUCAGCCCCUGACUGAUCCUGACUGUCUGAGCUGUUAACUCUUUCCAGAAGGUCACGACUUGGCUUUUACCCUCCACUUUCAGAUGGUUGCUCUUGUGUUUCUGUUUUAAAGGAACAAACGAGGAACAUGUGUAAUGGGAUUUUGGAAGGAUGGAAGUAUGCACAACUAGACAUUU
This is a long non-coding RNA of Choloepus didactylus (southern two-toed sloth), 2958 nucleotides long. RefSeq lists it as uncharacterized. The record is from RefSeq and is a predicted model, not a curated record. The transcript is spliced from 4 exons. NCBI's taxonomy places the organism in Eukaryota, Metazoa, Chordata, Mammalia, Pilosa, Megalonychidae.